GAAAUAAAAUAAUUUGAAUUUCUAAUUCAAAAAUUAAUAUUAADUAUAUUAUUAUUUCU
Molecule: transfer RNA, 59 nt
Filed under: Trissolcus basalis
Lineage: Eukaryota; Metazoa; Arthropoda; Insecta; Hymenoptera; Scelionidae
Description: tRNA-Ser
Source: RNAcentral